Molecule: long non-coding RNA, 5717 nt
Filed under: Gossypium barbadense (sea-island cotton)
Lineage: Eukaryota; Viridiplantae; Streptophyta; Magnoliopsida; Malvales; Malvaceae
Description: long non-coding RNA (GBAR_LNC008862)
Source: RNAcentral
AAAAAAAAUAUAUAUUAAAACAAAUCAUUUUUUUCAUGUUUUCAGGAAAAAAAAAAGAGAAAAAAAGGGGGGAGCUCUCUCGGGUCUUCUUCUCUGGCGAUCGGACCACCGUUGGUCUGUUGCCGACGAACACCGCCUACGGUGGCCGGAGGCAUGAAAUCGGCCUCUUUUCAACUCGUUUUUCUUCCCCGACCCUAAAUCUGCAGUCAUAACACCUAAAAAACCCUCGAUCGUUGAAAGAAAUCGAGAAAACCAUUUAGUUUCCUUCCUUUCGGUCGCCCAAAAAAGGUAAAAAAAUAUGGUACCCUCUGUAUAUCUAUCUGUAUAUAUAUUAUAUUUGAUGUGUGUAGGCUAAAAAGCGUGAAAAUAUACCUUCGGAUGAAUCUUUUUUGCUAUUUCGAUUUUUUAUGUAUUGCUUUUGUAAUCCCUCUUACAGAUUACAUUCGGCCUAUUUUUAUAGCCGAUUUUCUAGAAAAAAAUAAAAUAAAAAAAAAACUGAUUUUGUUAUACAUUUGCUGGCUAUUCUGGAACUGCUUAGGGUGCGUUUGGUUCGCUGUAUUGGAUUAGAGGUGUAUUGGAUUGGAGGUGUAUUGGAUUAGAGGUGUAUUGGAUUAGAGGUGUAAUAGCAAAUCAACUGUUUGGUUGAAUGUAAUGGAAUAGAGGCGUAAUAGUAAUCUUGUGUUUGGUUGAAUGGAAUAGAGGUGUAAUAGCAUAAUGGAAAAAACUAAAAUGACUAGAAUACCCUUAGCAUAAAUUUGUUUUAGUAAAUGAUUAUUUUUAUUGUUAUUUAAAUUUUAAUAAGAUUAUUAUUAUCAAUAAUAAAUAUUUUAAUCAUAUUUAAACAUAAUUAUUAUUAAAUAUAUUUUAAUUAAAAUAUAUAAUUUAAUAAAAUUCUUAAUAAUUAGUAGAAAUUUGUUUUGGUAAAUUAUUAUUGUUAUUGUUAUUUAAAUUUUAAUAAGAUUAUUAAUAUCAAUAAUAAAUAAUUUAAUCAUAUUUAAACAUAAUUAUUAUUAAAUAUAUUAUAAUUAAAAUAUAUAAUUUAAUAAAAUUCUUAAUAAUUAGCAGAAAUUUGUUUUGGUAAAUUAUUAUUGUUAUUGUUAUUUAAAUUUUAAUAAGAUUAUUAAUAUCAAUAAUAAAUAAUUUAAUCAUAUUUAAACAUAAUUAUUAUUAAAUAUAUUAUAAUUAAAAUAUAUAAUUUAAUAAAAUUCUUAAUAAUCAAUAUUCUUAUAUGAAUUUACUAAAAUCAUAAUAUAUGAUACUAUAAAAUAUAAUUUGAAAUAAUUAAUAUUAAAUAUAUUUCCACAGGUAUAUUAUGAAUAAAAGCAUAAUCAUUAAUGUAAUUCACAAAGGCUUUUACUUAAGAAUAUGGAUCAUGUAUAAGAAUGUACCAUAGGAAUUCUCUUUUGUUUCAAAAAAAAAAAAAACUUCACAUAUCAUUAGAAAAAAAAUUAAUAUUAAAUAUUCUUAUAUGAAUUUUCUAAAAUCAUAAUAUAUAAUACUAUAAAAUAUAAUUUAACAUAAUUAUUAUUAAAUAUAAAUUAAUAAAAAUAUAUAAAUUAAUAAAAUUCUUAAUAUUAAAUAUUCUUAUAUGAAUUUAAUAAAAUCAUAAUAUAUAAUACUAUAUAAUAUAAUUUAAAAUAAUUAUUAUUAAAUAUAAUUUAAUAAAAAUAUAUAAUUUAAUAAAAUUCUUAAUAUUAAAUAUUCUUAUAUGAAUUUAAUAAAAUCAUAAUAUAUAAUACUAUAUAAUAUAGAUUAAUAAUGUAGAUACUUGCUAAGAAAACAUGGAUUAAACAAAUGUCAUGCAUAGGCUUCUUCCAAAAAAAAUUUUCUAUGAACAAUCAUAUAGGCAUAAAGCAACCAUGGUAAACUAUGAAAAAAAAAAAGAUCUAUAUGUUAUCAAGCAGCAAAUCUGUGUUUGUAAUUACUAAUAUGUAUUCAAAAUAAUAAUGUAUUUUUUAUUUGUCAAAAUUUGUGGUAAAGAUCUAAGUUCUGCUCUAACACCUCCACCUCCACCUCAAACUCAAAUCUUUCUUCUUUUUCCAACCCUCUAAACCCCACCCCACAAUAAAGAUUAUUUCUGCAACGUAAAGAAUCAAAGACAAAUCAGUUUCCGAUGUGAAGAAGAAACUGUAAACUUCAAGUUAGGUGAGAAAUCCUUCUUAGCUCAGUAUCAGCAAAUUUUAUGACAUUCUGCCUUACCACAAGCCAAUAGCCUUCCACCAGAUGCCUCCUACUUCAAGCCAGAUUAUAAUAUUCACCACCGAUAUCAGGAAACCAUAUCCCCACCAUUUUGCUAGUGGUACAUAGCCCGCCCCAUAGAAUACAGGUGCGGAUCCAAUUCCAUAAUGAGUAAUGCCUCCCAUUAGGUUGGAGAGGAAUGAUAGAACAAGGGUUCCCUAAUACGAUGGAGUGCCCAAAGCAGUAGCCACAGACAAGAAGGCUGUAAACAUGGCACCAAUAUGAGCAGCUCCACUGGCAAAGAAGUAAUGCGAGUAGAAAUAGAGAAGAACCAGAAUGCCAAAUGACAUUUGCCAUGAAAGACCUAAUCCACCUACGACCUGUAAAAAUGAGCAGAUCAUUGACAUGAAAGGCAAUUCCAAACAUCUGAAUUUUUAAUUUCCAUCAGACCCGUGCUACAAGCUUCGUAAAAAAGGUUCCUAGUGUGAUUGCCAAAGCAGAAGCAUUGAAUACAACAGUGUCAGAACAACUUAGCCUAAAAGAAAAGGAACAUCCUAGGGCAUUGUUUAAUAAGACUCAAAUGGACACGCCAAAGUAAUAUGAAAAUAUUAAUAGAACAUGAAAACAGAACUAGAGAGAGCCAAAUAAUCAUACUGACUAGAUCUAUAUAUUACAAUGUAGAGCACAAGUAUUUCAAUAGUUUGCAUUAUUUAAGACAAGAUAUAAAUAGGCAAUGGUAUUCUGGUUUUUCCUUUCUAUUUUCCUUUUGAGAAAACAUGUGAUUCCAACUAUUUCCAGAAAAAGCAAAGCACCGCAUGUAGAUUAUGGUGAUGGCUCUUUGGUGAUUCCAUAAAAAGUUUUAGUAAAAUUGGACAUGGCAGAUAGAAAAUAAGACGAAAGUACAAGGAAAACAGGACAAACCUUAACAACGGUUUGACUAAACCAUGAGAUGAGACCAUAUUUGUUCAAAUACCCAGCCAUAGCGAUGAGUUCUGCAUGCAUAUUCAAGAGAAGUUGAAUGAGUUAGUAGCUCAUAAGAAAUAAAAGUAGAGUCGCUCAAAAGAAAUGUCUCAUCCAUACAUAGAGCAAAAGAAAGGGAGGCAGAGAAAAUAAGGCACUUCGCCAUAGUUUUUAAGUUUAGAAAUGUAUUACAAAUAAAUGGAAACAAGCAAACAUAAAACCAAAUCUAGUCACUUAAAUUACAAUAAAACAGAUGGGAAUUAUGAGUAUAAUCAUAUGACUAGAUAUUGCAAAAUGACAAAAAUAAAAGUAUGGUACAAUAAGCAAAAGUUGAAACCUGAUUUUAAACAUCAAAUAUUUUGUCUCAUAUCCAACACAUUAGCACAACGGAUUAACAAAAGGCAUUAGCUUUCCAUUUUGCACUAUCACACAUUUUCCAUAGAGGGAAAAAAGAAUAGGGGAAAUUUCAGAACUUGAUUGUAACUAAAAAGCAUUCCAACAUUUGUUAUCCCCGUUACAUAUGAAGAAUAUAGAACAAGUGCAAGUGACCAUAAAUAGCUAUGCAUUUCAAUGCAUUUCAAUGCCCAAUUAGAUAACCAACAAUAAAAAGCCCAUGUUUGACUGAAAUUGAGAACCACUGCCAUAUAAGGAUAUCUGCACAAUCAAGAAACAAAUUGCCAAGAUAAUGAGAAAUUUCUUAAGAGGGGCCAUUCAAAUAUUUCUGUUUCAGUAAUGAAUGUUCACCAUUUUAAAUGCAACAGUGGAAUACCAUAAUAUUUUAAACACGAACUUGGGCUCACAAGUGAAACAUCAUAAGUUUAGGUUUUAGGUGGCUUGUUGCUUAGCGAGUGAAGCACCAAAAGAGGCAUCAAUGUGGAUCACAAUCUUUUAGAAUUACUUUCUUCUAACCAGAAAAAAAAGGUCUUUCUACUGAUAAAUCACACAAAAUCCUCAAUAUCACCAGCAACAUUCUACAUUAAGAUCAUCUUACCCACAUUCCCAGUUGAAUUCUCCUUCACAAUACAUACCAAAAGCUUCAAGAAUUACUGCUAAAAGAGCAGCCAAUAUCUUGAUUAUCAUCUGUUAAGGAAGAAUACAAAUCUAUUAAAAAAGGAAACCAACAACAACAAAAAAAUUAAGUAUUUCAUUUUCUUCAAGCUAAAGAGAACUUACAUAUUGAACAAUGCUGAACUUGACAACUUGGUAAAACCAUCGACCAAGUUUCCAUGGUUUUAGGACAUAUUUCAUAGGAAAUGAGUGCUUAAUAGUUCCUUUUUCACAACUGUGUCCCAAUAGUGGAGUUUUAGAAUUUGCUCGUCCCAGUCUUCUCAUGAAAGCAAUUGUCCUCUCUUCCCCACCUUAAAGCAGAAAUUGAAGGAAAUAUUCCAAAAAUAAAAUAAAUUUUCUCAACAUCAGCCACAACUAUAAACAAUAUUAACGCUGAAAAAUGAAGAGCAUUAGAAAAUAAAAGGGAGAAGAACAAUGCAAAAUGAAAUAAACAUAAUUUAGGUUGAAGAUUCACCUUCUCCCUCUGGUUGAUCGAGAAGCACGAUCCAGGAAAAAGGAAGAAACAACAAGAAAUAAGAAACUCUUCCACCAGAAUCCAAACCUCUCAAAAUCCUAAACUCUCUGUUUCAAUUUCUAAGAGAGAAAAACUACAAGAAAUACUAAAAUUAAAGCUACGUCAACAAUGGAAUCAUAAUAUAGAAAAUUAAAUAUCUGAAUUAAGUAAAAAGAGAGAGAAAAAUCUAAAUGAGAGACAAAUAAGGGGACAAUGUUGAAGACAAUGUUGAAAAAUCUAAAGGAGAGAAAAAUUAAAACAGAGAAAGUCGAAGACAAUGUUGAAGCAAAGAUUCAUACCUGAAAUCGGCCUCCGAUGAAGACAAUGUUGAGGAUUUGUUAUGAAAGCAGAAGAAAUGAGGACAGAGCAAUACCGAUGGAAGAAGAAGCAGAAAUCUAUGAGGGCAAAAAAAGAAACGAAAAUAAGAAAUGGGUAAGGAUUCUCAAAUCGGUGCUGGAGGGGGUAUUAGCUAUUACGGGACCGGGUGUAUUAGGGAAGGAACAGAUUUGGGACGUAAUGAGAAUACAACCAACCAAACAACAGAUUAAGGGAGGAUUAAGUAGGGCCCACCGAUUAGGGGUGUAUUGGCAUAGCCAAUACACCCAACCAAACAUGGUGUUAGUUGUUUCCUCUCGCAGGUUCGAUUGACGUGGAUGUACAAAGGCCGUACAAAGGCAACACAUGGGGUGUACGGCGUAUAGAGGCGCUGGAGACUGCUGUUGAGGAAGCUACGAUGCUGUGCUAGGGUUUCAAUUUCUAAAACCACACUCUGGGCCAUUUGGGCUCAUUUUAAGAUUGGGCAUGCAAAUUUGGGUCAGAUUGGGUUCUUAUUGUAAAAUGGGUUUUGAAAUUUAGGCUUUAAUUUGUAUUUGGGCUGGUGAAGGUUGUAAGUGGACUAUUUGUACUGUUUUAAUUUGGACUUUAUUUAAUUUUUAUUUUAAUUUAUUUUUGGUUUAUUUACUUUUUUGAUAAUUUAUGGGCCCGAGCGAAAUAAACCUAUUACAGGAAUUCUCCCGUU